This 431-nucleotide ribosomal RNA is filed under the name uncultured bacterium. RNAcentral describes it as "partial 16S ribosomal RNA". It matches the Rfam family "Bacterial small subunit ribosomal RNA", at positions 29 to 507 of the family's 1533-position model. The record is from RNAcentral.
AACGAACGCUGGCGGCAGGCUUAACACAUGCAAGUCGAGCGCCCCGCAAGGGGAGCGGCAGACGGGUGAGUAACGCGUGGGAACGUACCUUUUGGUUCGUAACAACUCCGGGAAACUGGAGCUAAUACCGGAUAAGCCCUAACGGGUAAAGAUUUAUCGCCGAAAGAUCGGCCCGCGUCUGAUUAGCUAGUUGGUGAGGUAACGGCUCACCAAGGCGACGAUCAGUAGCUGGUCUGAGAGGAUGAUCAGCCACACUGGGGCUGAGACACGGCCCAGACUCCUACGGGAGGCAGCAGUGGGGAAUAUUGGACAAUGGGCGCAAGGCUGAUCCAGCCAUGACGCGUGAGUGAUGAAGGCCUUAGGGUUGUAAAGCUCUUUUGUACGGGAAGAUAAUGACUGUACCGGAAGAAUAAGCCCCGGCUAACUUCGUG